AUCCAGCUGAGGAGUCCCAAACAGGACGAACCGCGCGUCAAUCUGGAU
Non-coding RNA from Schistosoma curassoni, 48 nucleotides. The record is from Rfam. NCBI's taxonomy places the organism in Eukaryota, Metazoa, Platyhelminthes, Trematoda, Strigeidida, Schistosomatidae.